Molecule: ribosomal RNA, 468 nt
Filed under: uncultured bacterium
Lineage: Bacteria
Description: partial 16S ribosomal RNA
Rfam family: Bacterial small subunit ribosomal RNA
Source: RNAcentral
GACGAACGCUGGCGGCGUGCUUAACACAUGCAAGUCGAACGGAAAGGCCCUGCUUUUGUGGGGUGCUCGAGUGGCGAACGGGUGAGUAACACGUGAGUAACCUGCCCUUGACUUUGGGAUAACUUCAGGAAACUGGGGCUAAUACCGGAUAGGAGCUCCUGCUGCAUGGUGGGGGUUGGAAAGUUUCGGCGGUUGGGGCUGGACUCGCGGCUUAUCAGCUGGUUGGGGGGGUAGUGGCUUACCAAGGCUUUGACGGGUAGCCGGCCUGAGAGGGUGACCGGCCUCAUUGGGACUGAGAUACGGCCCAGACUCCUACGGGAGGCAGCAGUGGGGAAUAUUGCACAAUGGGCGGAAGCCUGAUGCAGCAACGCCGCGUGCGGGAUGACGGCCUUCGGGUUGUAAACCGCUUUCGCCUGUGACGAAGCGUGAGUGACGGUAAUGGGUAAAGAAGCACCGGCUAACUACGUG